Molecule: non-coding RNA, 76 nt
Organism: Picea glauca (white spruce)
Lineage: Eukaryota; Viridiplantae; Streptophyta; Pinopsida; Pinales; Pinaceae
Source: Rfam
GGGAAAUGAUGAAUGCAAGUUGGUCCGUGUUUAUGAAAAACGAUGAUCAUUCAUACUUGCAAGUAUGGCUGAUUCC